This 514-nucleotide ribosomal RNA is filed under the name Boeremia exigua. RNAcentral describes it as "eukaryotic LSU rRNA". The stretch from base 144 to 297 matches the Rfam family "5.8S ribosomal RNA". Lineage: Eukaryota; Fungi; Ascomycota; Dothideomycetes; Pleosporales; Didymellaceae. The record is from RNAcentral.
GAUCCUGGAGUUGUAGGCUUUGCCUACCAUCUCUUACCCAUGUCUUUUGAGUACCUUCGUUUCCUCGGCGGGUCCGCCCGCCGAUUGGACAAACUUAAACCCUUUGUAAUUGAAAUCAGCGUCUGAAAAAACAUAAUAGUUACAACUUUCAACAACGGAUCUCUUGGUUCUGGCAUCGAUGAAGAACGCAGCGAAAUGCGAUAAGUAGUGUGAAUUGCAGAAUUCAGUGAAUCAUCGAAUCUUUGAACGCACAUUGCGCCCCUUGGUAUUCCAUGGGGCAUGCCUGUUCGAGCGUCAUUUGUACCUUCAAGCUCUGCUUGGUGUUGGGUGUUUGUCUCGCCUUUGCGUGUAGACUCGCCUUAAAACAAUUGGCAGCCGGCGUAUUGAUUUCGGAGCGCAGUACAUCUCGCGCUUUGCACUCAUAACGACGACGUCCAAAAAGUACUUUUUACACUCUUGACCUCGGAUCAGGUAGGGAUACCCGCUGAACUUAAGCAUAUCAAUAAGCGGAGGA